RNAcentral lists this transfer RNA (85 nucleotides) under Pseudohoeflea suaedae. RNAcentral's name for it is "tRNA-Leu". It matches the Rfam family "tRNA". Rfam says of the family: Transfer RNA (tRNA) molecules are approximately 80 nucleotides in length. Their secondary structure includes four short double-helical elements and three loops (D, anti-codon, and T loops). The record is from RNAcentral. Lineage: Bacteria; Pseudomonadati; Pseudomonadota; Alphaproteobacteria; Hyphomicrobiales; Rhizobiaceae.
GCGGGCGUGAUGGAAUUGGUAGACAUACCGGACUUAAAAUUCGGAAGCUUUGGCUGUGCGGGUUCGAGUCCCGCCGCCCGCACCA